AAAAAAAAAAAAAAAAAAAAAAAAAAAAAAACACCACAAAAUUUUUCAUGAGAAAACCAAAAAAAAACUGAGAAUAUUCUGUAUCGGUCUACUACCAACUCACAAGAGAGCAGGACCAGUAUAUGGUAGAGGGAAAACGCCUGAAGAUAUUAAUCAGCGGCUAUUUAAUUAUUUUUUUUGAAUUUUAUAAUUUCUAUUAAUAUUCAGACAAAACUUAACAGUUUCUAUUAAUCAACGGCUAUUUAAUUAUAUAUUUUCUUUAUAACGUAUCUCCAAGUAUUUUCUUUUAACGUUUCAUGUUUUGAAGUUGGGUAUAUUAGGAGACUUAUGACUUAUUAGCUUGAUUCAUUGAAUUGUUUUAUUUUUUAACAAAAUUUUUUGUUUUUGAAAAAUAAAUAAAUAACCCUAAAGUUUAAUGAAACAAGCCAAACAGUAAUAUGUUUUUUGAAAAAAGAAAAGGGGUGGGGACAUCAUGCACUUGCUUGUGGAUCCUAAAGCACAAGCAAUUAAGCUUGUACUACAGACACAUCUUAUAGCCUAAAAUGAACGCACAAAGUACUACAAUUUUUCUGAGAAAAAAAAGUAGUACUUCAUUUUUUUCUUUUGGGGGAGAAAAGUACAACAUUGUUUUACUUUUGAGAAAAAAACAAAACAAAAAAAAAAAGAGUACAACAAUAUUUUGUGAUUAGAUUAGUAAUUCCAUACUAAAAAUUCAUUCUUACUCUUCACUCCAUAGAAUGGAAAAGGUGAACUCCCUUUAUUUGAUAUCACAUACAAUCUCUUUCAGCUUUGUUCCGAUGAAAGGCAAUGGCAAUUGUGCUGCCAACGUCAAAAUAUGCUUUGGUUGGCAAUUAAAGGCUUUUGCGCCCGACAUAUUUGAAAGCUGGAUACGUUUCAGCCUUAUACUUGUGCCACAAAAGUACCAACUGGACCGUAUCUAGAGCUAUAAAGGUUUGAAGCGAGUUGUACCCAAAAUACAUAUCUUUAAAAAAUAGAAAUUACAGAUAGCGAUUCUCUGUAAAUCCCAACUUUAAUUAAUAGGAGAGAUUUAGUUAUUCUGCAUAAAGUUGCCCACCACGAAAUUUUAUAGAUGAUUGUCGCAUGACACGGGCUUCAUGUUUCGCGUCCUAUAAGCCAGCUGAUUCAAACCUAAACAAAGCAGGAGCUUAGAAUUCGACACCCACCAUACUAAGCUUGCAGCAGAUGACUAAUAGCCCUAACAACCAUCUUAAAACCACCACCUAUGGUUAGGAAAUGCAUUCCAUCGACUAUGUGAUUGCAUCUAGAGAGGGAAAAAAAGAAAUUCAUACCUUCCCGAAGAAAGUCUUAAUGUUAGGUUGUAAUGACAAAAACAUUAUGCAUACACAUUCUAGGCGCAUAUGUAGCAUAAUACAGGACAACUACUUGGCAGAAUAACCACCAUAAAAUAUAAAAUUAAAAACAAAAAUAAAAAUUAAAAAUCCUAUAAGGUU
Manihot esculenta (cassava) is the source of this 1472-nucleotide long non-coding RNA. RefSeq lists it as uncharacterized. The record is from RefSeq and is a predicted model, not a curated record. NCBI's taxonomy places the organism in Eukaryota, Viridiplantae, Streptophyta, Magnoliopsida, Malpighiales, Euphorbiaceae. The transcript is spliced from 2 exons.